RNAcentral lists this long non-coding RNA (2659 nucleotides) under Homo sapiens (human). RNAcentral describes it as "HSALNT0063414". Lineage: Eukaryota; Metazoa; Chordata; Mammalia; Primates; Hominidae. The record is from RNAcentral.
AGCCUGGGUUCACGCUCGCGCCUCUCCCUCCACACCUCCCUGCAAGCUGAGGGAGCCAGCUCCGGCCUAGGCCAGCCCAGGAAGGGGCUCUCACAGUGCAGCGGCGGGCUGAAAGGCUCCUCAAGUGCCGCCAAAGUGGGAGCCCAGGCAGAGGAGGCGCCGAGAGCGACUGAGGGCUGCCAGCAUGCUGUCACCUCUCACUAGUUUAGGAAAAUUCUGUUGACCUAUAAUGAAGUUUACAGAUUUUUCCUCAUAUCUGUCCAGUCUACGGAUUAGAUCUUCAAAGAGAUGAAAUCCCACUAUUUUGCCCAGGCUCAUCUAUAACUUCUGAGCUCAAGACAUCCUCCUGCUUUGACCUUCCAAAGUGCUGGGAUAGGGGUUUUGUGCAAAUAUCUGCUGAGUGAACUACUUAUUUGAAAAUACAUCAUUGGUUAAUAUUCCCUUUUGCUCAUUGAAAUCUCAAAGACUACAGACAAACUACAAUAAAGCCAUGCCCUGACUGGAUGUGCCUAACAUUUGUCUGGUGCUUAAAGGAGUUGGCUGCAUGCGUGGAAAUGUUGGAAAGUCACCAAAAAUAGUUCUCCAAGUCAGAAGCGGUGCAAAAGCUGCCUCAGCUCUUGGUGGAUUUUCAAUUUCUCCCAGCCAUCUCUGUUUCGCUAAAGGUUUCUGAAGACAGUGGAAUGCUGUUGAAGACACCACCUUGAUAAAACAAAAACAUCAGCCAAAUUAAAUUUAAAGGAGUUUAAUUGAGCAAAGAAUUAUUCAUGAAUCAAGCAGUCUUCCAAGCCAGAGUAGGCUCAAAUACUCCAGCACAGCCACGUGGUGGAAGAUUUAUGGACAAAAGAAGAAAAGUAACAUAUAGAAAAUGGAAAUGAGGGGAAGCUUUUUUCUCCUCCCCAUCCUGAUCACUAGUAUGAGAAGGGGUGCUAAUGGACCAGCCUUGGCCUUGCAGAUGAAGAUGAUGAAGGAAGAAGAUGUAUAAAGAACCUCUGAAAGAGUCCCAGUUUUACAUUUCAAAGUCUUUUUCCUUCUGUUGUUUAUUGUGUUGGGUUGGAGUGGAGGAUAUUUGAUGGAGAAUUGAUUCUGAAACUUGCCAAAAUAUGGAUAAUACUUUGCUCCUUUUCCAUUGUGGGUUAUCACAAAGAAGAGUUUCACUUUUAGUCAUCUAUUUACAGGUACGGCAAUAGCUAUUUUCUUUUUCUUUUUUUUAUUUUAGGUUUUAUUUUAGGUACAUGUGAAGGUUUCUUGUAUAGGUAAACUAGUGUCAUGUGGGAUUGUUGCACAGAUUAUUUUAUCAACCAGGUAUUAAGGAAGCUCAGUACCCAAUAGUUAUAUUUUCUGCUCCUCUCCCUCAUCCCACUCUCCACCCUGAGGUCGACCCCAGUGUCUGUUGUUUCCUUCUUUCUGUUAAUGAGUUCUCAUCAUUUAGCUCCCACUUAUAAGUGAGAACAUGUGCUAUGUGUUUUUCUGUUCCUGUGUUAGUUGGCUAAGGAUAAUGGCCUCCAGCUCCAUUUUUGUUUCCCUCUCCAGCAUCUGUUUUUUUUUUUAAUUUUUAGUAAUAUCCAUUCUGACUGGUAUGAGAUGGUAUCUCAUUGUGGUUCUGACUUGCAUUUCUGUAAUGGUCAAUGAUGUUCAGCUUUUCUUUUCAUGUGCUUGUUGCCCACAUGUAUGUUUUGUUUUGAAAAGUGUUUGUUCGUGUCCUUUAUCCACUUUUCAAUGGGGUUGUUUGCUUUUCUCUCGUAAAUUUGUUUAAUUUCCUUAUAGAUGUUAUGACCUAGCAGCUGUACCUUUUUUAAUUUCAAGACAUUCAAUAAACUAAGAACCAACAGCACAGUUGAUGUGUCUUUCCAUGACACCUGCCAUCUUUCCUCUCUUCAUAGCUAUAAGAAUAUUUUGGAAGAAGAGUUGCUGAUAAAUGCCACUUAGGGAAUCUCUGAGCAUCUGUUAUUAUAAAUGGUUGACUAAAAUUUAGGGUAAAGCAUCCUAUUAAAAAUGAAGUUAAGGACUUUAUGUAGAACUUUAAAAUUUGUCCCCCAAAUCCUGUUGUAUGUCAACAUAUUAUAAAAUAAAUUGUAAAUAUCAUAACUCAGCAAAAGAACAUCAUCUAAAACUCAUUAAGAAUUUAAUGUUGAGUAUAUCAGUGACACAAAAUCAUGAGGCAAGAUGGUUUAAAUAUGUUACAAAUAAUAAUAAAUAAUCAUACCCUCUGAGUUUAAAUUCUUUAUCACCCUGUAUGUACUGCCACUCAACACUUGACUUCAGGGCCAUAAUCCUUAGUGAACCCAUCUAACAUCCACCUAAAAUAAAGGUUUGGAGCCACUCUUCUAUGCUUAACAAAUAGCCUUAAGCAUCAUGAAUAAACAGAGACAGGCUAGCUCCUUUUUGCUCUAUAGCCUUAAGUAGUUCUGACCAUGACUAGAAAGACAUAGCUGCAAGCAGCCUGAUCUUUUUUUAACAUCUUGACUUUUUGCAAGGUAUUUCUAAAAUAUGUUACUAAUAUGUACUUCUUGGUUGUUUUACUAAUAUUUGAAAGAACUAAAGUUAUCAUUAGUCACGUUUCAUUUGAAACUACAGAAGCAAUAAAAACAACAAAGUUCCAAUAUAAAAUCCAUUAUUAAAUAGCUUUCAACAUAAUAGAUUAUUUACUACAAAAUAGCAA